Molecule: long non-coding RNA, 249 nt
Filed under: Elaeis guineensis (African oil palm)
Lineage: Eukaryota; Viridiplantae; Streptophyta; Magnoliopsida; Arecales; Arecaceae
Description: long non-coding RNA (EGUI_LNC069570)
Source: RNAcentral
UCUUCUUUAACGAUUAGGUCAUCUCAUAAUCUAAUUGGGUCAAACUAAAUUGAAUUUAAUUCAAUUAGAUUUUAUUUAAUCUUCUUUACUCAAUCAAAUUGAGUUAAUUAGUAAUAUAAUUAUUAAUUAAUCUUUCAUUAAUUCACUAACACUUGAUAAAUUAAUUUAUUAUAAUUUUUACAUACGAUUAACCAUUAAUUGAAUUGAUGAUUAAGCCCUUGAAUGAUGCUCAAUCAUUGAUUAGCCACA